Molecule: ribosomal RNA, 276 nt
Filed under: uncultured bacterium
Lineage: Bacteria
Description: partial 16S ribosomal RNA
Rfam family: Bacterial small subunit ribosomal RNA
Source: RNAcentral
CAAACUGAAGAUGGCGACCGGCGCACGGGUGAGUAACACGUAUCCAACCUACCGAUAACUCCGGAAUAGCCUUUCGAAAGAAAGAUUAAUACCGGAUGGCAUACGAAUAUCGCAUGAUAUUUUUAUUAAAGAAUUUCGGUUAUCGAUGGGGAUGCGUUCCAUUAGUUUGUUGGCGGGGUAACGGCCCACCAAGACUACGAUGGAUAGGGGUUCUGAGAGGAAGGUCCCCCACAUUGGAACUGAGACACGGUCCAAACUCCUACGGGAGGCAGCAUG